ACACACCCAGGAGCUCCAGCCUGUUAUGGGAUGGGCAUCCUACCAGGAACCAAGGAUGCUAAGAUGUCCUCCAAAAUGGAUUGCCUCAUAUCUAGUACCCGCCUGCUGCAGGCUUCUUCAUCUAGUUCCUCUGGGGGCACAUUGUGCAGCUAAUUCAUCCAGGCAGAUUCACUGGGAAGCUGUUGCUCAUGAGGGUGUAAUGGAGAAUCUCCAGGUGGAGAAAUGAUCCUGAAUUAUCCAGUGGGCCCUACAUGUCACCACAUUGCGAUCCUUCUAAGUAGGAAGCAGAAGAUCUGACACAUGCAGGAGAGGGGAAGGCAAUGUGACCAUGGAGGCAGAGAGGAGAGUGAUGUGGCCACAAGCCAAGGAUUGUCGGCAGCUGCCAGUGGCUGAAGGGGCAAUGAACGGAUUCUCCUUUGGAGCCUCUGGAGGGAGAAUGGCCCUGCUAACACCUGAUUUUGGCCCAGUGAUACUGAUUUUGGACUUCUGCCCUCUAGAACUGUGAGGGAAUACUUUUCUGUUGCUUUAAGCCAUUUAAUUUAUGAUGAUUUGUUACAGCACCCACAGGAAACUAAUGCAUGGGUCUAACUUGAACCUAGUGAGUUAGAUUACUUCAGGGAAACACAGUAAAUUGUUAACAGGGCUUGUCAGGGGGGUGGGAGUGAGAUGAAAGUGUGAAG
RNAcentral lists this non-coding RNA (680 nucleotides) under Pan troglodytes (chimpanzee). Lineage: Eukaryota; Metazoa; Chordata; Mammalia; Primates; Hominidae. The record is from RNAcentral.